This is a non-coding RNA of Vicugna pacos (alpaca), 373 nucleotides long. NCBI's taxonomy places the organism in Eukaryota, Metazoa, Chordata, Mammalia, Artiodactyla, Camelidae. The record is from RefSeq and is a predicted model, not a curated record.
GGGGAAGACUCUGAGGACCACCCCCAACCCCGCUGAUACACAGUGAGUGAUGAGCUCCAGAGGCUGCAGCCGUAUUAGCUGCUAGAAGUCACCCGUCUCCAGAAAGCUGUGUGUGUGCAUGCAUGUGUGCACACGUGUCACCCGGAACAGCGCCAGUGGAAAUUCAAUGAACAUCUGUGGACAAAAGAAUUCCCCUCAUCACAGUUUGCAAUUCUAUGUUUGUUUGUUUGUGUCCUCGGUUAUCGCCAGGGCCCGUGUCUGCUGGGCUCCCCAUUCCAUCCGCGUCCUGGCUCCGUGCCCGACUCCCUGUAGACACCACCCCACACACAAAAGCCUUUGCAGGAAAGAGCUAAAUAAAGAAGCAUAGGCUGUU